AUCCAGCUGACGAGUCUGAAAUAGGACGAAACGCGCAUCCUGGAU
This 45-nucleotide non-coding RNA is filed under the name Schistosoma mansoni. The record is from RNAcentral. Lineage: Eukaryota; Metazoa; Platyhelminthes; Trematoda; Strigeidida; Schistosomatidae.